AAACGACUGCUAAGACUGGAUAGGAGACAAGAAGGCAUCUUCUUGUUUUUAAAAGACCUAGCAAUAGGUAUGCUUAGGGAGGAGCUUGCGUCACAUUAGUUAGUUGGUGGGGUAAAGGCCUACCAAGACUAUGAUGUGUAGCCGGGCUGAGAGGUUGAACGGCCACAUUGGGACUGAGACACGGCCCAAACUCCUACGGGAGGCAGCAGUAGGGAAUUUUCGGCAAUGGAGGAAACUCUGACCGAGCAACGCCGCGUGAACGAUGAAGUAUUUCGGUACGUAAAGUUCUUUUAUUAGGGAAGAAUAAAUGAUGGAAAAAUCAUUCUGACGGUACCUAAUGAAUAAGCCCCGGCUAACUAUGUGCCAGCAGCCGCGGUAAUACAUAGGGGGCAAGCGUUAUCCGGAAUUAUUGGGCGUAAAGGGUGCGUAGGCGGUUAAAUAAGUUUAUGGUCUAAGUGCAAUGCUCAACAUUGUGAUGCUAUAAAAACUGUUUAGCUAGAGUAAGAUAGAGGCAAGUGGAAUUCCAUGUGUAGUGGUAAAAUGCGUAAAUAUAUGGAGGAACACCAGUAGCGAAGGCGGCUUGCUGGGUCUUUACUGACGCUGAGGCACGAAAGCGUGGGGAGCAAACAGGAUUAGAUACCCUGGUAGUCCACGCCGUAAACGAUGAGUACUAAACGUUGGGUAAAACCAGUGUUGAAGUUAACACAUUAAGUACUCCGCCUGAGUAGUACGUACGCAAGUAUGAAACUUAAAGGAAUUGACGGGACUCCGCACAAGCGGUGGAUCAUGUUGUUUAAUUCGAAGGUACCCGAAAAACCUCACCAGGUCUUGACAUGCUUCUGCAAAGCUGUAGAAACACAGUGGAGGUUAUCAGUUGCACAGGUGGUGCAUGGUUGUCGUCAGCUCGUGUCGUGAGAUGUUGGGUUAAGUCCCGCAACGAGCGCAACCCUUAUUGUUAGUUACCAGCACGUAAUGGUGGGGACUUUAGCAAGACUGCCAGUGAUAAAUUGGAGGAAGGUGGGGACGACGUCAAAUCAUCAUGCCCCUUAUGACCUGGGCUACAAACGUGAUACAAUGGCUGUUACAAAGGGUAGCUGAAGCGCAAGUUUUUGGCGAAUCUCAAAAAAACAGUCUCAGUUCGGAUUGAAGUCUGCAACUCGACUUCAUGAAGUUGGAAUCGCUAGUAAUCGCGAAUCAGCAUGUCGCGGUGAAUACGUUCUCGGGGUUUGUACACACCGCCCGUCA
This 1245-nucleotide ribosomal RNA is filed under the name Sesame phyllody phytoplasma. Its description in RNAcentral is "bacterial SSU rRNA". It matches the Rfam family "Bacterial small subunit ribosomal RNA", at positions 154 to 1399 of the family's 1533-position model. The record is from RNAcentral. Lineage: Bacteria; Bacillati; Mycoplasmatota; Mollicutes; Acholeplasmatales; Acholeplasmataceae.